RNAcentral lists this ribosomal RNA (501 nucleotides) under Escherichia coli. RNAcentral's name for it is "bacterial SSU rRNA". It matches the Rfam family "Bacterial small subunit ribosomal RNA", at positions 1042 to 1533 of the family's 1533-position model. Lineage: Bacteria; Pseudomonadati; Pseudomonadota; Gammaproteobacteria; Enterobacterales; Enterobacteriaceae. The record is from RNAcentral.
UGCAUGGCUGUCGUCAGCUCGUGUUGUGAAAUGUUGGGUUAAGUCCCGCAACGAGCGCAACCCUUAUCCUUUGUUGCCAGCGGUCCGGCCGGGAACUCAAAGGAGACUGCCAGUGAUAAACUGGAGGAAGGUGGGGAUGACGUCAAGUCAUCAUGGCCCUUACGACCAGGGCUACACACGUGCUACAAUGGCGCAUACAAAGAGAAGCGACCUCGCGAGAGCAAGCGGACCUCAUAAAGUGCGUCGUAGUCCGGAUUGGAGUCUGCAACUCGACUCCAUGAAGUCGGAAUCGCUAGUAAUCGUGGAUCAGAAUGCCACGGUGAAUACGUUCCCGGGCCUUGUACACACCGCCCGUCACACCAUGGGAGUGGGUUGCAAAAGAAGUAGGUAGCUUAACCUUCGGGAGGGCGCUUACCACUUUGUGAUUCAUGACUGGGGUGAAGUCGUAACAAGGUAACCGUAGGGGAACCUGCGGUUGGAUCACCUCCUUACCUUAAAGAA